UUAAAUGGCCGCAGUAUCCUAACUGUGCAAAGGUAGCAUAAUCAUUAGUCUUUUAAUUGAAGGCUGGAAUGAAUGGUUGGACGAAAUAUUAACUGUUUCAUUAAAAUUUUUUAUAGAAUUUUAUUUUUUAGUUAAAAAGCUAAAAUAAAUUUAAAAGACGAGAAGACCCUAUAAAUCUUUAUAUUUUGUUUAUUUUAAUUAUAAAGAUUAUUUUUAUUAUAAUAGAUUAAAAUAUUUUAUUGGGGUGAUAUUAAAAUUUAAAAAACUUUUAAUUUUUAAAAACAUAAAUGUAUGAAUUAUUGAUCCAUUAAUAAUGAUUAAAAAUUUAAGUUACUUUAGGGAUAACAGCGUAAUUUUUUUGGAGAGUUCAUAUCGAUAAAAAAGAUUGCGACCUCGAUGUUGGAUUAAGAUAUAAUUUUGGGUGUAGCCGCUCAAAUUUUAAGUCUGUUCGACUUUUAAAUUCUUACGUGAUCUGAGUUCAAGCCCCGGAGCCGCUAUUAAGGGUUCGUUUGUUCAACGAUUAAAGUCCUACGUGAUCUGAGUUUCAAACCGGC
Molecule: ribosomal RNA, 554 nt
Filed under: Drosophila sp. 'spinata'
Lineage: Eukaryota; Metazoa; Arthropoda; Insecta; Diptera; Drosophilidae
Description: partial 16S ribosomal RNA
Rfam family: Bacterial large subunit ribosomal RNA
Source: RNAcentral